GAUGAAGAACGUAGCGAAAUGCGAUAAGUAAUGUGAAUUGCAGAAUUCAGUGAAUCAUCGAAUCUUUGAACGCACAUUGCGCCCGCUGGUAUUCCGGCGGGCAUGCCUGUUCGAGCGUCAUUUCAACCCUCAAGCUCUCCGGAGUUUGGUGUUGGGGCGCCUGGGGCUUUUCGACCUCAGGGCCCUCAAGUCCAUCGGCGGGACCGCCAGGACACUGAGCGCAGUAGUAUUAUUUCGCUCGGUAGGAUCUUCCACGGCGGGUCGAUCUGGCCGCUAAACCCCCCAAUUCUCACCAAAGGUUGACCUCGGAUCAGGUAGGAAUACCCGCUGAACUUAAGCAUAUCAAUAAGCGAGGA
This 356-nucleotide unclassified non-coding RNA is filed under the name soil metagenome. Its description in RNAcentral is "partial contains 5.8S ribosomal RNA, internal transcribed spacer 2, and large subunit ribosomal RNA". The stretch from base 1 to 120 matches the Rfam family "5.8S ribosomal RNA", at positions 35 to 154 of the family's 154-position model. The record is from RNAcentral.